RNAcentral lists this long non-coding RNA (2366 nucleotides) under Felis catus (domestic cat). RNAcentral describes it as "lncRNA (ENSFCAG00000050772.1)". The record is from RNAcentral. Lineage: Eukaryota; Metazoa; Chordata; Mammalia; Carnivora; Felidae.
CCCCCCCGUGUUGUGAGCAUGAGGAUGCGUCUGUAGAUUUUGUGUGUCUGUGGGAUCCACGUGAGUCUCAAUGAUUCCACAUAAGACUGUGAGCGCCAAGGGGGUGAUUGUGGGUUUUCAUUGUGUAUGCAUUGUGUGCAAUCUCCACGUGGUGUGGGGGGAGCCCAGUGUGUCCCUGGGGGUCCCGGUGUGUCUGAUCUGAUGCUCCUGCAGGGCCCCUCCUGUUCCCCUUCCAUUUGGGUGCACGAAGAAGACCCCGAGACUGGGCCAGUGCUUCAGGGCCAGAGAGGAGGAGGCGGGAGAGGCCUCCUGCCCCUCAACCUGUAAACACAGUAAAAUUGUCGCCAGCACCACAGCGGCCUGUGUCCUGCUCAGGCACUGUUUGCAUCGCUUGUCUUGGGAGCACAGAUGGGGCAGUGGGGGCGGGGAGGUGUUCCCUGAAGCCCUGGAGAGCACGUUUCUUUCCCACACUCUUUGUCCUGCACGGGUCUCUGGGCCAGUCCUGAGGGGCCCUGAGCAGGCAAGUGGAGAGGAGCUGAGCAGGGCCGCCCCGCCCCUGCCCAGCGGGAAAGCAGCCGCCAAGUCUGACAGGGCCAGAGGGACAGUCCCAGGCUGGUGAGGCUCAGAAGGGACCUCCUGCUCUCAGCUUAGAUCUGGGGUGGUAAUCUGGGGCCGGCCAGAUGGCAGCAGAUCAGAAUGGAUCCGGAUCAGGAUGGAGAUGGGGAUGAGGAUCUCACUGCUGAGCCUCUAGGCGCCCAGCCAGCACAGCACAGAAGCACCUCAGGUCUUGGGGCUCACGUGAGCUGUCUAGGAGCCCCUGAGAUGGGUGUGGGAGGCACAGAUCCACGCAGAGGACCAGAGAAUCAUCCCGACCACUGCUGGCACUUUCCAGGCCAUUUCCUAGCUGACAACCACUCUGAAUUGGGUGACUGCCUCCUGCCACCUGCAGCCUGAGGAUCAUUUUAUGACUGAUGACUCUGCAGGGCUUAGCCCCUACCACCAGCCCACCCCAUGAUCAGGAAUCCAGGCCCCUGUGUCUCUGCUGCUCUGAAGUAUGAAGUUCUGUGAUCCUCUGAUCUUCCUUUCAACUGUCAUAUACCUUUUCCUGUAAGUCCUGGCUGAGACUCAGGGGCUGUAGUACAUGGGGCAGAGGCACCAGGCAGAGAGCUGACAUCUGAAGCCAGGUGAAGCCCCUACCCAGAGGAACAAUGAUGCAGGGUAGCUGUGAUCCAGGAGAGGAGGUGGAGUGAGAUGCUUCCUGACUCUCAUCCACUAAUAAUGGUAGAAUUGUAGCCAGUACACAAACUGUCUAUAGUGGGGUCAGACAUUAUUUAAUCACUUGUUAUGUGUUGGGGUUCAGGAUAACAUACCCUGAAUAUGACACCUUGGCGUAUUGAACCUCAAGGAGUUUGAGAAAAACACCAGAAAUAAGGUCACUCUGACAUCCUCCACCUUCUUUCCUGAAACAGGUUAUAAAACUCUCAUGUGAAAGUUUCCCUCCUUAUACCAGGAGGAAACAGACAUCUUUAUCUCUGAAAAAAAAAGAGAAUGAGAAGAAUUCUAACAAACAGGCCUUGCUACAGUUUCCUACAAUCCCUCAUACUCUUUAACCGGUCAGAUUCCUCCAGGAGUGUCCACUCUUCAUCAAACCUAGCAUAAAAUGUGUCUUUCUCAUUUUCUCAGGAAGGCUCUCAUGUCACAGAAAACUUACACUGAACUGGUGAACUUUUCUCCUGUUAAUUGUCAGACCCAGCUGGGAUCCUAAGAGGGUUGAGGAAAACUUUUUAAUCAUAUGUAAUCCUUACAUUUAAUAACUUAGUAUCCUUCUUCCCACCCCCCACCCCACCCUCGCCCUCACAGAGGGGUAAACUGAAGCUCAGACAGUUUGCAUAAUUCUGGAGUCAUUGGUGUCCAGAUAAGACACACAGGAACACUUCUGGGGGAUCCCCCACAUGGGGAAUUUGUGUGUUCUGACUUUGUGGGUUUUACUCUGCCAGGAUGUGGUUAUGUGUAUCUUAUGUUUCCUUCUAGGAGUUUUAUAGUUGUGAUUUUACACUUAGGUCUGUGAUCCAUUUUGAGUUAUUUUUUGUGAAGGGAAUAAGGUCAGUGUCUAGGUUCAUUUUUGUGUGUGUGUAUGGAUAUCUGUUCCAGCACCGUUUGUGGAAAAGGCUGUCUUUUCUCUGUUGCUCUGCCUUUGCUCCUUUGUUAAAGAUCAGAUUUAUGUGAGUCUGUGUCUGGGCUCUCUGUUCUGUUCCAUCGAUGGCUUGGUCUAUUGUUUCAUCAGUACACACUAUCUUGAUUACUUUAGCUUUAGAGUGUUGACCUUAAAAAAUAAAACAGUUCAUUUACCAUCUGAAAAGGUCUUU